This 315-nucleotide unclassified non-coding RNA is filed under the name Hevea brasiliensis (rubber tree). The record is from RNAcentral. Lineage: Eukaryota; Viridiplantae; Streptophyta; Magnoliopsida; Malpighiales; Euphorbiaceae.
GCCAAGUACUCUUUUGCUCCUCGUAACAAUUCUAGGGAGAAGGAGAAGGUUCAUAAAAGGAAACUUCAACACCUUGAACACCAACUUUAUGAAACCAUGUGAUAUGAUAAUUGUACAAUAAGAAGCAAAAAGAACAUGCAGGAAAGUGUACCCAAUGCCACAUUACCCUAGACUAAAGGACACACAUAAUUGGCAGCGCUAGCCUUUUCCUUUGUUUUCUUAAAAAAAGGUCUUACUAUGACAUAAAACAGAUUUUCUUAUUCGCUGUUAUAUUCUUUGCCAAUGUUAAUUGAACUUGAAAUGCUUAAAUCAUCA